RNAcentral lists this ribosomal RNA (500 nucleotides) under uncultured Glomeromycotina. RNAcentral's name for it is "partial small subunit ribosomal RNA". It matches the Rfam family "Eukaryotic small subunit ribosomal RNA", at positions 591 to 1092 of the family's 1831-position model. Lineage: Eukaryota; Fungi; Glomeromycota. The record is from RNAcentral.
CCAAUAGCGUAUAUUAAAGUUGUUGCAGUUAAAAAGCUCGUAGUUGAAUUUCGGGAUCAAUAUAUUGGUCGUGCCUCCGGUAUGCACUGGUAUCAUUGAUUUCUACCUUCUGACGAACUAUGAUGUCAUUAAUUUGGUGUCAUGGGGAAUCAGGACUGUUACUUUGAAAAAAUUAGAGUGUUUAAAGCAGGCACACGCUUGAAUACAUUAGCAUGGAAUAAUGAAAUAGGACGUUUGACCCUAUUUUGUUGGUUUCUAGGAUCGACGUAAUGAUUAAUAGGGAUAGUUGGGGGCAUUAGUAUUCAAUUGUCAGAGGUGAAAUUCUUGGAUUUAUUGAAGACUAACUACUGCGAAAGCAUUUGCCAAGGAUGUUUUCAUUAAUCAAGAACGAAAGUUAGGGGAUCGAAGACGAUCAGAUACCGUCGUAGUCUUAACCAUAAACUAUGCCGACUAGGGAUCGGAUGAUGUUAAUUUUUUAAUGACUCAUUCGGCGCCUUACG